UUCUUCAAGUAAAUCAAAUUAAUAAUAAUCAAUAAGAAGGCAUAUGCCAAUACAAAUACGUGAAUUUAUAUAUGUACAUAUGCGCAUAUACAUACAUAUAUACGCUCACUUAAGUAGGGGAGAGCAAGAUGUCGAACGUUGCCGUUCGUUUGCUUUGUUUGCUUUGUCGUUCCUUCCGCGCUUUCGCUUGCAGUUCAUUCAAUGCAAUGAGCAAGGUAACUACAUAUGAGCAAGGUAACACUAAUAUGAGCAAGGUAACACUAAUGAGCAAGGUAACACUAAAGAGCAAGGUAACACUAAUGAGCAAGGUAACUACAUAUGAGCAAGGUAACGACACAUUUUUUCGUGCGUGCAGCCUGUUAAAUCGAAUUAUAAGACGUUAU
Long non-coding RNA from Anastrepha ludens (Mexican fruit fly), 383 nucleotides. RefSeq lists it as uncharacterized. The record is from RefSeq and is a predicted model, not a curated record. NCBI's taxonomy places the organism in Eukaryota, Metazoa, Arthropoda, Insecta, Diptera, Tephritidae. The transcript has 3 exons.